Molecule: ribosomal RNA, 494 nt
Filed under: uncultured bacterium
Lineage: Bacteria
Description: partial 16S ribosomal RNA
Rfam family: Bacterial small subunit ribosomal RNA
Source: RNAcentral
GACGAACGCUGGCGGCGCGCUUAACACAUGCAAGUCGAACGGAAAGGCCUGCUUUCCCUUGUGGAUUGCGGGUACUCGAGUGGCGAACGGGUGAGUAACACGUGAGUGAUCUGCCCCCAACUUGGGUAUAAGCCUGGGAAACUGGGUCUAAUUCCCGAUAGGACUGCAGGGUGGUGCCUGUGGUGGAAAACGAUUUUCUAGUGGUUGGGGAUGAGCUCGCGGCCUAUCAGCUUGUUGGUGGGGCAAUGGCCUACCAAGGCGGCGACGGGUAGCCGGCCUGAGAGGGUGGACAGCCACAUUGGGACUGGGAUACGGCCCAGACUCCUACGGGAGGCAGCAGUGGGGAAUAUUGCACAAUGGGCGGAAGCCUGAUGCAGCGACGCCGCGUGGGAGAUGACGGCCUUCGGGUGGUAAACUCCUUUCGACCGCGAGGAAGCCACCUGGUUGGAAGGGUGGUGACGGUAGUGGUAGAAGAAGCACCGGCUAACUACGUG